RNAcentral lists this long non-coding RNA (1362 nucleotides) under Canis lupus familiaris (dog). RNAcentral describes it as "lncRNA (ENSCAFG00030004297.1)". Lineage: Eukaryota; Metazoa; Chordata; Mammalia; Carnivora; Canidae. The record is from RNAcentral.
AUGGAGAGAAAAGUGGGGAAUAACAGAGGGGGUGGGAGGGGAGGGGAGGGGAGGGCAGGGGGGAGGGCAGGGGAGUGGGUGCCCCCAAGAAGGGAGGUUCCAGGAAAGCGAAAUGCAGUUUGGCAGCCGGAGGGCCGCGGGCCCCAGCGCCGGGGGGCUGGGGGAGGCCGGGGGCGGGCCCUGGACCCACGCCAGCUCGGUCCGCGCGCCGAGGGGGAGGGCGGGCAGGGCGGCCUGGGGGAGGGGAGCGGGGUGAGGGCGGGACACGGGCCGCGGCCGCCUACGGCUCCGAAGCUCGGGGUCUCCUGGGGCGCGGGGCCGCGGGGCCGAAGACCCCGAUCUGCAGCCUCCGCGAGGCCUCGUCCUUCACUGUGCAGAUGCGAAGCUUUCAAGGACACGUCUGCACCGGCCCGGCGGGGGUGCGUGUGCGUGAGUGUGUCCGCGUGCGUGCGAGUGUGUGCGACCGGGGGUGCUGCUGCAGGGGGCGACCCCGGGCGCCCCCACCCGCGCCGCUCCCGGCCGGGGCCCGCAGCUCGCAUCCCCGCGUCUUCCGGCCCCCGCGGCCCCGGCCCGGGAUCUCCGCCCGCCCCCGCCCCGCCCCCACACUGCGGCGCCGCCGCCGCCGCCGCCGCCGCCGCCGCCGCCGCCGCCGCCGCCGCCCCGGCUCCCACGGCCCGCGGCGGGGGCAGGGAGGAGCCAGGCACGACGUCCCCCCCCGCGCGCCGCCCGGCCCUCCGCGGGGAGGUGUGCCCCCCAAGUGGCACUCUCGCCACCCCCGCCGCCCCUCCCAGAUCCGCUGGCACCCCGCACCCCCAGCCACAGGUGGCCGGAGCAGGAUCGCUGCGCAGCGCUCCCCGGCCCGGCCCCCGAAUCACCCCGCGGCCCGCCCCCGGGGGCCUCCCGGGUCCCCCGCCCCGCCGGGCCGAGGAGGGCCGGGAGCCGGGGGGAGGGGCGGGGGGCCGGGUCGUGCCAGGCUGCCAUUUUCUGCCGCCGCCGCGGAGCCUGCGCGGGGCCCGGCCCCCGCCCCCUCCCCCGCUCCCUGCGGGCCGCGGCGGGAGCCGAUCUCUCCGGGUCGGGGUCCGCGCCCUGCAGCGCCGCGGCCGCAGGCCCCAGGCGGGGCCCCGGGGCGGGGGCAGGGCCCGGAAGGCGGGGGCGGCCAGGCCGGGGCCCCUGCGGCAGCGCCGGGCCGGGCACCGCGGCGGAGGCCGGCGGCGGAGGGGGCCCCCCGCGGCAUUGUAUAGACUUGAACUUGAGCCCGGAGCCGGGCGGGGGCGGGGGCGGGGGCGGGGAGGGGGCUCCGCGCCGGGAGCGGGCGGGCGGGCGGGACGGGAGGGGGCGCCUGCGGAGCCCGCGGGGACAUAA